GAUGCGACCACAAGAAUCGAGUCAGAAUCAGCAGCAUAUACCGCAUCUUUUCUAAAAGCACGAUAAAAAAAUGAGCGAAAAAUUGAGGCAGAAAAAGGGAGAUGAUGGGCACAGGAGGAAGCCGAGCCUUGUUGCUCUGUAAAUCGUCGUCGUCGUCUUUGGUUUUAUUACUGCCUUCGUUUUCUUCGACUCAGCAGAGGCUCAAAUCCCUCACACUUCGCAGUCCUUCACUCAGGCUUCGUCGUCUAAUGGCCACGGAUGCUUCAUCAUCGUCCCCUUCGUCGCUCACCAGCUGUGACGGUGCCAAACCUACUGCUUCUUCAAAUGGCGAUGGAGCUGCUGCUUCCUCUUCUACUUCUUCUACUUCUGCUUCCUCUGCCAUUGAUUUUCUCUCUCUCUGCCACCGCCUUAAGACAACGAAAAGAGCUGGAUGGGUGCGGAGAGAUGUUGUUGAUCCAGAAUCAGUAGCGGAUCAUAUGUAUCGAAUGGGAUUAAUGGCUCUCAUAUCUUCCGAUAUUCCCGGUGUCGAUCGUGAAAAGUGUAUAAAAAUGGCAAUUGUUCAUGAUAUUGCAGAAGCCAUUGUUGGGGACAUAACACCUUCAGAUGGGGUCCCAAAGGAGGAGAAGAGUCGACGAGAACAGGAAGCACUAGACCACAUGUGCAAAUUACUUGGUGGAGGGUCAAGAGCUAAAGAAGUAGGAGAUUUGUGGAUGGAAUAUGAGGAGAAUGCUUCACCAGAAGCAAAACUUGUCAAGGACUUUGACAAGGUGGAGAUGAUACUUCAAGCCCUAGAAUAUGAGAAUGAUGCUUUAAAAUUCUCUAAGCACGUAUUUAUGAUUUACUGCUGAUGGUGUCUGUCAUGUUUUGUUCGAGAGCAAGGGAAGGACUUGGAUGAGUUUUUCCGGUCAACUGCUGGGAAGUUCCAGACAGAAACAGGCAAAGCAUGGGCCUCAGAGAUAGCAUCAAGAAGACAAAAAAAGAACUAACUUGUGUCUGUAGUUUCUCUUUCCUCAAGAUUUAAUCAUCCUGACUGCUUUGCAAUGUAGUGGUGGUGGUGCUGCAGAUGAUCUGGAGUUGAAGGUGGUAGCAGUGGUGGCAGCACUAUUGUGGUGUGAGUGCAGUAGUGAAAGAAUAAACCGUAACUACACUCUGCUCGUUCAUCGCAGUCACUUACCAAUGAAAUUGCUCUUAACCAAAAUUUCAAAAUCAAGAUUGAUUGGAAAAAAAAAAAAAAAAAAACAUUAAUAGGUUGUUUAGUUUUCGUUGUACCUAACGGAUCAGAGGUGGUUGAUCUCUAAUAAACUUUAAUACUCAGAUAUUACAAACCUUUGUAAUGCGUAGCCAUUGUGAAUUGUUUUUAGCUGAUUAUAUGUUAAUUGUCUUUACUUUAA
Molecule: RNA transcript, 1391 nt
Organism: Ziziphus jujuba (common jujube)
Lineage: Eukaryota; Viridiplantae; Streptophyta; Magnoliopsida; Rosales; Rhamnaceae
Exons: 9
Source: RefSeq, a predicted model, not a curated record